CCAUCAUUGAUCUCAAUUACAGAUCAAAACAUUUAUUUUUCACUGAAAAAGCUCUAAGCUUAGCAUACAAUGGGAAAAUUAAAGGCAACAAAGAAAAAAACAAAAAAUAGACUUUCAAGUUAUGCGAAUUGCCAAAACACAGAAAAGAAAAAUGGUGAUUGAGUUGAAGUAUAAAUAGAAGCAGAGAAUGGCAAAACUUUUAAGCAGCAGCAGAAGCAAAAGCAGACUCCCUCUCCACAGCUUUCUUCAAGAGACUAUCCUCUUCCAACACCAUCUGAACAGGCAAAAAACCCAACCCAUUAGCCAUGGCCAGCAUCAUCUGCUUGGUCUCUUCUUUGAACUCCUCCAAAUCUACCCUCCCAUUCAAAUCAUGAUCAAACUGUUCAAACAGAGAACCAUAAACUCGAGCCAGCUCUUCUGGGUCUCUCUUCACAUCGAUCCCAAAGUGAGUCUCGAAAACCCUUAGACUCUGCAGCUCCUUCAACAUUUCUGCAUAAGAAAGAAGACCAUCUUGGUCUGUGUCAAGGUGAGCAAAACGGUCACGUAUUGACACAGUGAAAGCUUCUUCGUCCUCCACGAAGUUCACAAUGGUGGCACCAUCCAAAACUUCUACACUCAUCCUGCUUUGCUGUUAAUUGUAGAACCAGGGGAUCUGAACUAAAAAUCAAAAGCUUUUAAAGAGAAGGGAUUUGACUUGAUGAUGAAUCAGAAGUUGGGCUUGUGUUAUAUAUAGAGAGAGAGUUGAAAUGAAGCUAGAGACAAGAACGUGUUGAAUCACCAUGCAUGGAAGGGAAGAACAUGGGUGCGUGGUUUCCAAAACAAUACUGCUGCUUUUGGAGCCAUGUUUGUUUCCUUUUACUUUCCUUUUUG
This 870-nucleotide unclassified non-coding RNA is filed under the name Hevea brasiliensis (rubber tree). Lineage: Eukaryota; Viridiplantae; Streptophyta; Magnoliopsida; Malpighiales; Euphorbiaceae. The record is from RNAcentral.